UGCACGAGGUGGCCGGCGCCGAGGCGGACCUCGCGGCCGCCGGGGUCGCCGCCCUCCCGGCGGUGUUCGUCGGGGGCAGGCUGCUCGGGGGCCUCGACCGGCUCAUGGCCGCGCACAUCUCCGGCGACCUCGUCCCCAUACUCAAGGACGCCGGCGCGCUGUGGCUCUGACACGAGCAGCCACCAAGCUAGCCGCCCUCUGAUUGCCUCUCCGUCGUCAGCUGCUUUGCUUUGAAUUAAACGAUGGUGGUGUUGUCAACUCGUUUUUAUUUACUCAUUGACUAGAGAUAGACAUGCACAUAGGACUUCAAUUCUUGUACUUGUACUACUAGGGAAAAGAGAGUGAAUUAUAGUACUUUAAUAUUAUUUGUUACUUGUAUUUUCCAUCCUGUGAAUACGAAAUACCGACUCCAGCUUCUGUUUGUUC
RNAcentral lists this long non-coding RNA (426 nucleotides) under Zea mays. RNAcentral describes it as "long non-coding RNA (ZMAY_LNC004078)". Lineage: Eukaryota; Viridiplantae; Streptophyta; Magnoliopsida; Poales; Poaceae. The record is from RNAcentral.